This is a non-coding RNA of Pelobates cultripes (western spadefoot toad), 205 nucleotides long. Lineage: Eukaryota; Metazoa; Chordata; Amphibia; Anura; Pelobatidae. The record is from the annotation of a GenBank genome assembly.
GUAGAGGAUUAGCGUUACCUCCUGUGCUUGGUUCUGGCUGAGCUACAGGAAGUUGGACAUCCGGGAUGAUUGUUUGGUUAGUGGAUUCCAGAUUAUCCAACUGGUUGUUAAUAGUGGCUACUGAAGCCACCAGAGAGCAUCUUAUGUAGGUCUGACAGACUAUUUUGGAUAUUACAUUCACUUAACAGGAAAUUAAUUAUUCCAG